ACUCCUACGGGAGGCAGCAGUGGGGAAUAUUGCACAAUGGGCGCAAGCCUGAUGCAGCCAUGCCGCGUGUGUGAAGAAGGCCUUCGGGUUGUAAAGCACUUUCAGUCGUGAGGAAGGCGGUGUAGUUAAUAGCUGCAUCGUUUGACGUUAGCGACAGAAGAAGCACCGGCUAACUCCGUGCCAGCAGCCGCGGUAAUACGGAGGGUGCGAGCGUUAAUCGGAAUUACUGGGCGUAAAGCGCAUGCAGGUGGUUUGUUAAGUCAGAUGUGAAAGCCCGGGGCUCAACCUCGGAAUUGCAUUUGAAACUGGCAGACUAGAGUACUGUAGAGGGGGGUAGAAUUUCAGGUGUAGCGGUGAAAUGCGUAGAGAUCUGAAGGAAUACCGGUGGCGAAGGCGGCCCCCUGGACAGAUACUGACACUCAGAUGCGAAAGCGUGGGGAGCAAACAGGAUUAGAUACCCUGGUAGCACAGAGC
Molecule: ribosomal RNA, 474 nt
Filed under: uncultured bacterium
Lineage: Bacteria
Description: bacterial SSU rRNA
Rfam family: Bacterial small subunit ribosomal RNA
Source: RNAcentral